Molecule: unclassified non-coding RNA, 326 nt
Filed under: uncultured fungus
Lineage: Eukaryota; Fungi
Description: partial contains 5.8S ribosomal RNA, internal transcribed spacer 2, and large subunit ribosomal RNA
Source: RNAcentral
AACGCACCUUGCACCUUUUGGCAUUCCGAAAGGUACAUCUGUUUGAGUGUCAUGAAUCCCUCAACCUCUACGUUUCCUUGUGAGAUGUACAGCGUUGGAUGCUGAGCGCUGCUGUCCUCACCGACAGCUCGCUUCAAAUGGAUCAGCAAUCUCGAUAGUGACUCGGAUUGACCCGACGUGAUAAGAUCUUCGUCGGGGAUGCUUUCAUUAGCAGCCGGUCGUCUACCAGAGUAGCUUCUAAACACGCUCGCAAGCACCUUCGGGUGUCUGUGACAAACCCUUUACAUUUAGACCUCAAAUCAGAUGGGACUACCCGCUGAACUUAA